UUGAGAUUAUGUUGCGAGUAACUUAAACAGCAUCUGUUUACCAACAGCGUGUCACAAUUGAGCUCUCACUGCACAGACAGAUUUUGAGCGGGUUGUGUAUACAGCUGCUAUUGCAAAAGGAAUAUUUACACCAUAACGUAUAGCUUAAAGUCUCAGUCCCUGGAACGCUACAGGCCAAGAAUUACGUUAAUUCGGCUCUGCGGUUCCACACAUCGUGACCUCAACUCUCCAAUCCGAAACAAAGCUGAUAAUGAUAGAGCUAAAGCAAAGGGAAUUUAUUAAAAAAAAAAAAAAAAAAAAGCAAGAAUAGCAGCAUGAUCAACGCCACACAAGGUUAAUCAUUCCUGCUGCCGAAGCUGCCUUCCUGCAAAUAGCGGGCAUUCCAGCUCUUGGCACGUGGGCACAUACAGGAGUUUUGCCAGCUCGCCAGGGGUUCAGGGCCAUCAGGCCUCCUAGUGGAACUCCGAAGCAGAGAUUUUUAUAACUCUCCAUGCCACUUUACUUUCCAAAUGCCAUUUUUUUUUUUUUUUCUUUUUAGGGCCACACCUGCAGCAUAUGGAAGUUCCCAGGCUGGAGGUCGAAUCAGAGCUAAAGCUGCUAGCCUACACCACAGGCACGGCAACUCAGGAUCCGAGCCGCAUCUUCGACCUACACCCCAGCUCACAGCAAUGCCGGGUCCCUGCUGAAUGAAGCCAGGGAUCGAAGCCCCAUCCUCGUGUCUGUGAGGAUACAGCUUCAAUCCCUGGCCUCACUCAGUGGGUCAAGGUUCAGCCGCUCAUCAGAUGCGUUUCUGCUGUGCCACGGUGGGAACUCCCCAAACGCUAAAUUUUAGACGCCUUCAAUUAGAGUAUUGCUAGUAAGGAGCCUCAGUUGGACCUUUCCGAAAAAAGAAAGGUGCUGAAAUUAGUUAUCGUGUGCCCAUAACAAGUGAAAAAGGACGUGUGAUUUUGGACUGUCCAGGACCCAGUGCGGGGGGGCAGCCUGGUGCCCACUGUGGGCCCUGGAGCUAAAGAGAUCUGUGUGUCCUCCAUGGUGUCAAGGGCUUUUCAUGAUCCUGAGAAUGGCUAUAUAUUUUUCACAGCUAAUUUACAGUUUGGGGGCUGCAGGGUUGGAGAAACUGUCUGUCUUGGUCCCUUGGGUCUGCCAUCACAAAAUACCGCAAGCUAGGUGGCUUAUAAACAACAAAUGUUUAUUUCUCACAGUUCUGGAGGCUGGGCAUCUGCGGUCAGGGUGCCAGCAUGGUCGGUGAGGGUCCUCUGUCAGGUCACAGGUCCUUAUCGGGCCGAAGGGCAGGGGCGCGCUCUCCAGCCUCAUUUAUAGAGGUACUAAAGGCAGACCUUGGAGAUACUGUGGGUUCAGCCCCAGGCCACUGCAAUAAAGCGAAUAACACAAUAGUGAGUAACACAAAAUGUUUUCGGUCGCCUCAGUGCAUAUCAAAAUUACGUAUAGGCGUCCCCACUGUGGCGUGGCGUCUCUAUAGCCCCAGAACCCGGCUUCCAUCCCAGGAUCCGGCAUUGUCAUGGUCGUGGCAUAGGUCUUAACAGCGGCUCAGAUCUUCUCCCUGGCCUGGGAACUCUGCAUGCCACCGGGCAGCCAAAAAAGGAAAAAUACUUUUUAAAAGUUCCGUUUACACUAUACUGCGGUCUGUUAAGUUUGCAAUAGCACUAUGUCUAAAACUUGUACAUGCCUUAAAUAGGAAAUACUUUAUUGGUCCAUCAUUGUAAUCAUUUUGCUGUUGGAGGGUUUUGCCUUUGAUAUUGGCGGCUGCAGACUGAUCUGGGCUGUGGCUGCUGAAGGCUGGGGUGGCUGAGGCAAUUUCUUAAAAUAAGACAACAAUGAAAUCUGCAUCAAUUAACUCUUCCUUUCACGUGAACUCUUAGAGGCCAUUGUAGGGUUAUUCAUUGGCUUAUUUUCAAUGUUGUUGUGUCUCAGGAAAUAGGGAGGCCCAAGAAAAGGUAGAGAGAUGGGGGACUGGCCAGCCAGUCAGUGGAGCAGUCAGAACACACAGCAUUUAGCAAUUAGGGGUUCUUAUUGCGGCUCAGCAGGUUAAAAUCCCAGCAUGCUGUCUGGGAGGAUACAGGUUCAAGCCUUGGCCUCGAUCAGUGGGUUAGGGUUUCUGGCAUUGCCACGGCUGUGUAGACUGCAGAUGUGGCUCAGAUUUGGUGUUGCUGUGGCUGUGGUGUAGCCUGGCAGCUGCAGCUCCCACUUGACCCCUAGCCUGGGAACUUCCUUCUGCCGGUAUGGCUGUAAAAAGAAAAAAAAAUUAUCAAUUAAGUUUGCCAUCUUAUAUGGGUGCAGUUCGUGGUACCCCCAAACAAUUAUAACAGUAACGUCGAAGGUCACUGAUCAGAGGUCACCAUAACAUAAAUAAUAAUGAAAAUGUUUGGAAAGUUGUGCGAAUUGCCAAACUGUGACACAGAGACACAAGUGAGCAAAUGCUGUUGGAAAAAAUGGCACCGAUUGACUUGCCUGAUGCAGGGUGGCCCCAAACCUUCAAUUUGAAAAAAAAGGCAACAUCUGUGACGCACAAUAAAGCAAAGCACGAUCAAUGAGGAAUGUUUAUAAUGUCGCUCUCAUGACCUAAUCACUCCAAAGGCCCCCACCUUCUAGUACCAUCGCACUGGGCGUUAGGGUUUCCAUGUUUGAAGUCUGGGGGCCACACGCAUCCAGGCCAUGGCACAGUCCUCUAGGAGCAGGUUAACGGAAGCAGGGUUUUCGCCCUUAUUUCUGUGAAUAGCUGUCCGAGUGCUGCCCCACCGGCCUCAUUUUGAGUAGCAUUGAUCUCAUGGGGUUGGGGAACACAUGGCUGAACUCCGAAUCAAGGUCUAAAUAUGGGAAUUACUCAUGUCCCCCACUUUUCACUUUAAGUCACUUCGCUUUUACAAGAGACUUGCGUUUUUCGGACCGAGAGAAAUCCAAGGAGGAGUUUUGCUUUCAUGCUAAAAGGUGAAAAGUGAAAAUAGCAUCGAGCAUUUGUUUUGCAGGGAGUUAUUACCGAGGCAGCUCACCCCCGGAGCAGCUAGAGGGCUGGACCCCCAAGCUCCUUCCUCUGAAACUGCACUCAGCAUCUCAGCAUCAAGCCACCAGCACUUUGAACUGUGUCUGUGAGCAGCUUAAUCUUGGCUUGUUUUGUGCACCCAUUAGUGAGAGGUGUCCAGAAUGGUUGCUUCUUUGCUUUAUGCCAUUUUGGCUUCAAGUUUUCCUAGGAACGCUCUCCUGUCAGAGAGCAGGGAGACCCGUGGAGCAUUUCUGGGUUAUGGUGGAGUCUGUGGUGUGGUGCAAGGAGGUGAAGGCCACAGGAGAUGACGAAGUCCAACAGGGGUUUGGAAGGGUCAUUAAAAAGGACCCCCCCCAAUCAUUCAGAACACACUGUGUCUUUGCAUAGAUGCAGGCACAUAAAACCCUGCCCCGGGCAUUUCCAAAUGAAGCCUUCCCGACCUCUGUACCAUCUGCACAUCGUCUGCAGCACAUCAAGACUCUUAAACUACCUCAAAAUGGAAUUCUGUUUUUCCUACAGAGCGAUUCUAAGCUUUUGGGGGUGGCGAUGGGAAGGACAGACCUCUGAAUAAAGGGGGCAGGUAGGGUGGCUGUGCUGGCCUCCUUUGCCAUGUAUGACCAAUGGGUGUCUCCCUUGACCCCUGGGUGCCUAGAGGACCCCAGCCCAUGGGAGACCUGCUGUGUUUGCUUAUUUGGGGCUGGGGACUCCUUUUCUCCAUGUUGAACCAUCCCCCUUCCCUCCACCUGGCCUCUCCCAUUCUCUUCUGUGAGCGGAGGCUGGGACGGGGGAAGGAGAAGAGUUGAGGGGACGGGGAGCAGCAGAUGAUGCUGGAGAGUGGCUGGGAGGCUGGGUGGGAGCUCCCGCUUAGGGAGGGCUGGCCAGCCAAGGCCCCACUUAGUUUGUACUUUGGAUGGUGGUGGUCCUGGGCAAAAAAUCCCUUUCUCACAUCCUAGGUUUGUUUGUUUGUUUGUUUGUUUAUUUUGCCUUUUUUUAAGGUCGCCCUGCAGCCUAUGCAGGUUCCCAGGCUGGGGGUCGAAUCAGAGCUAUAGUUGCUGGUCUACACCACAGCCACAGCCACGUCAGAUCUGAGAUGCAUCUGUGAUCUACGUCAGCUCGCGGCAAUGUUGGAUCCUUAACCCACUGAGAGAGGCCAGGGAUCGAACCCACAACCUCGUGGUUCCUAGUCGGAUUCGUUUCCGCUGUGCUACUACGGGAACUCCCAUACCACCUUCUUUGAAGUCACUAUACGCAGCCCACACUUAAGCACCGGGACUCUCCCGCUCUAUGAGGCUUUAUCUGCAAAAAUGAAUCAGAAUUCUUCUGAAAGGGAGCUAUGUCUUCAUUCUCCAGCAUUUAUUUAUCUAGUCAAUCAUUUGUUUAUAUCGCUGUGAACUCACAGAUAUUUAUUUCAUCCUUUGGGUUGUAAUCCAAUACUACUUAUUUUCUUGCUCAAAUUGUUGCCGCCAUGGCUGGUGGGACUUCUUUCAGUUGGUUCCCGUGUUCCUUUGACAAAUCCCCACAAGCGUUACUGGUGUUUUAGGCUGUCAUUUGUUCUUUAACCCUUCCUUACUUCCUGGGCGCACAAGAUACUCCAGGCUCAUCUUGCAUAUUUCCUAUGCCGUUUCUUAGAAUGAGCCCCCUCUCCAAGCAGCCCUGGUUGUUUGUUGAGAAUGAUAUUAGAAACCAAAACCUGGGGGACCCCUAGCCUGGGAACCUCCAUAUGCCGAGGGUGAGGCCCUGAAAAGACAAAAAAAAAAAAAAAGAAAGAAAGAAAGAAAGAAAAAGGAUAAAAGGGGCC
This 4796-nucleotide long non-coding RNA is filed under the name Sus scrofa (pig). Its description in RNAcentral is "lncRNA (ENSSSCG00000056591.1)". Lineage: Eukaryota; Metazoa; Chordata; Mammalia; Artiodactyla; Suidae. The record is from RNAcentral.